UGCAUAGAAAUGAAUUCUUGACAGAAUUUCAAAGGAAUUAAUAUUUUGGCAAAAUGUGCUAAUGUAAAGAAUUAGAAGAUUAGUGAGGCAUAAGGAGUGCAAUGCAUUCUUCCACAUGGAAACAGAGAAAGAAUAACUGUCCUGCAGGUGACCGGGCCACAGCAAUUUUAUUUAAGAUUAAUGUCUGACUGGCCCUGUUAGGAUGUUUAACCUUUCUGAAAUUAAAAGCCACAGCUGCAUUAGUCUGUCCAAUUUAAAUGUAAA
Unclassified non-coding RNA from Fukomys damarensis (Damara mole-rat), 264 nucleotides. NCBI's taxonomy places the organism in Eukaryota, Metazoa, Chordata, Mammalia, Rodentia, Bathyergidae. The record is from Ensembl.